GAUUAAAAAAUUAUUAUUUAUAGUAGAUUUUUGUUUAAAUAAAAAAAUAAUUUUUUUAUUAAGUUUUAUGAAUAAAUUUAUAUAUAUAUAUAUAUAUAUAUAUAUAUAUAUAUAAUUAUAGGGUAUUAGUAUUGUGAGAGAAUUUUUAUUUUUAUUUAAAAGAAAAAUUUAAGUUUUGUACCUUGUGUAUCAGGGUUUAUUAAAAAAUUUAUAAAGUUUUAUAAUUCUCGAAUUUGAAAGAGCUAUAUUAUUAUUAUUUUUUUUGUUGAAUAAAAAUUAAUAAUAGUAAUAUAGAGGUGAAAUGCUAUACGAUUUUAAAUAUAUCUAGUUUUUUAAGAAAAAAAUUAAAUUUUAUUAUUAUUAAUUAUUAGUUUGUUUAUUAGGUUUAUUAUAUUAAUAUUUUAUAUUUUAUGGGAUGAGCUAUAAGGUAGAUUUAUAAAAUUUUUUUAAAAUUUAUAUUUUAAAGUAGGAUUAUAAGUUUUUAGUUUAGUUAGUGAGUUAUAUAAAAAAGAUUAGAAGUUUAGAUUUAUAAAGAAUUUAUAUUUUUUAUUAAAAUAAAAUUUUUAAUUAUUUAAAAUUGGUAAUAAUGAUUGAAUUAGUAUAUUUUACUGUGUAUUUUUUUUUUAAAAUUUAAAGGUAAAGUAAAGGAAUUCGGCAAAUUAAUUUUUCACCUGUUUAUUAAAAACAUGGCUUAUUGAAAAUGUUUUUAGGUUUGGUCUGCUCAAUGAUUGAUUUAAAUAGCUGCGGUAUUUUGACCGUACAAAGGUAGCAUAAUCAUUAGUUUUUUAAUUGAGAGCUUGUAUGAAGGAUUUAAUGAGAAAAAAGCUGUCUCUAUUUUAGUAUUUUAAAAUUUUAUUUUUGGGUUAAAAAGCCUAAAUUGGUAUAGAAGACGAGAAGACCCUAUAGAGUUUUAUAUUUUUUAUUUGAUAAAGUUUUAGAAUUAAAUUUAAAAUUUAAAGUAUUUUAUUGGGGUGAUAUAAAAAUUUAAAUAACUUUUUAUUUGUGGUUUCAUUGAUUUAUGAAUAAAUGAUCCUUUAAUAAAGAUUAGAAGAUUAAUUUACCUUAGGGAUAACAGCGUAAUUUUUUUUAGAGUUCUUAUUGAAAAAAAAGAUUGCGACCUCGAUGUUGGAUUAAAAAAAAUUAUUGGUGGAGAAGCUAAAUGAUUAAGUCUGUUCGACUUUUAAAAUUUUACAUGAUCUGAGUUUAAACCGGUGUGAGCCAGGUUGGUUUCUAUCUCUAUAAAUAUAAGAAUAUUUUAGUACGAAAGGACCAAAUAUUUAAUUUAGAAUUUUUGUUUAUUGAAAUUUAUUAAUAUAUAUAUAUAUAUAUAUAUAUAUAUAUAUAUAU
This 1347-nucleotide ribosomal RNA is filed under the name Coleoptera sp. 1 AH-2016. Its description in RNAcentral is "16S ribosomal RNA". The stretch from base 1068 to 1225 matches the Rfam family "Archaeal large subunit ribosomal RNA", at positions 2544 to 2703 of the family's 2987-position model. Lineage: Eukaryota; Metazoa; Arthropoda; Insecta; Coleoptera. The record is from RNAcentral.